UACAGGGGGGGCAAGCGUUGUUCGGAAUUACUGGGCGUAAAGGGUUUGUAGGUGGCUUGCUCAGUCAGACGUGAAAUCCCUCAGCUUAACUGGGGAACUGCGUCUGAUACUAGCGAGCUUGAGUGCAGGAGAGGAACGCGGAAUUCCAGGUGUAGCGGUGAAAUGCGUAGAUAUCUGGAGGAACACCAAUGGCGAAGGCAGCACUCUGGGACGUGACUGACGCUGAGACGCGAAAGCGUGGGGAGCAAACAGG
RNAcentral lists this ribosomal RNA (253 nucleotides) under uncultured bacterium. Its description in RNAcentral is "partial 16S ribosomal RNA". It matches the Rfam family "Bacterial small subunit ribosomal RNA", at positions 524 to 776 of the family's 1533-position model. The record is from RNAcentral.